GAUGAACGCUGGCGGCGUGCCUAAUACAUGCAAGUCGAGCGAACAGACGAGGAGCUUGCUCCUCUGACGUUGGCGGCGGACGGGUGAGUAACACGUGGAUAACCUACCUAUAAGACUGGGAUAACUUCGGGAAACCGGAGCCAAUACCGGAUAACAUGAUGAACCGCAUGGAUCAACAGUGAAAGACGGUCUUGCUGUCACAUAGAGAUGGAUCCGCGCCGCAUUAGCUAGUUGGUAAGGUAACGGCCUACCAAGGCAACGAUGCGUAGCCGAUCUGAGAGGGUGAUCAGCCACACUGGAACUGAGACACGGUCCAGACUCCUACGGGAGGCAGCAGUAGGGAAUCUUGCGCAAUGGGCGCAAGCCUGAUGCAGCCACACCGCGUGAGUGAUGAAGGUCUUCGGGUCGUAAAGCUCUGUUGUUAGGGAAGAACAAAUGUGUAUGUAACUAUGCCCGUCUUGACGGUACCUAAUCAGAAAGCCCCGGCUAACUACGUG
RNAcentral lists this ribosomal RNA (497 nucleotides) under uncultured bacterium. RNAcentral's name for it is "partial 16S ribosomal RNA". It matches the Rfam family "Bacterial small subunit ribosomal RNA", at positions 28 to 507 of the family's 1533-position model. The record is from RNAcentral.